Molecule: ribosomal RNA, 460 nt
Filed under: uncultured bacterium
Lineage: Bacteria
Description: partial 16S ribosomal RNA
Rfam family: Bacterial small subunit ribosomal RNA
Source: RNAcentral
CCUACGGGAGGCAGCAGUGAGGAAUAUUGGUCAAUGGGCGCAAGCCUGAACCAGCCAAGUCGCGUGAAGGAUGACUGCCCUACGGGUUGUAAACCUCUUUUAUAAGGGAGUAACGUGUGGCACGUGUGCCUGUUUGUAUGUACCUUAUGAAUAAGGAACGGCUAACUCCGUGCCAGCAGCCGCGGGAAUACGGAGGAACCGAGCGUUAUCCGGAUUUAUUGGGUUUAAAGGGAGCGUAGAUGGGUUGUUAAGUCAGUUGUGAAAGUUUGCGGCUCAAACGUAAAAUUGCAAUUGAUACUGGCGGUCUUGAGUACAGGUGAGGUAGGCGGAAUUCGUGGUGUAGCGGUGAAAUGCUUAGAUAUCACGAAGAACUCCGAUUGCGAAGGCAGCUUACUAAACUGCCACUGACACUGAUGCUCGAAAGUGUGGGUAUCAAACAGGAUUAGAUACCCGAGUAGUC